RNAcentral lists this ribosomal RNA (164 nucleotides) under Phagnalon sinaicum. Its description in RNAcentral is "5.8S ribosomal RNA". It matches the Rfam family "5.8S ribosomal RNA". From Rfam's summary of the family: 5.8S ribosomal RNA (5.8S rRNA) is a component of the large subunit of the eukaryotic ribosome. It is transcribed by RNA polymerase I as part of the 45S precursor that also contains 18S and 28S rRNA. Functionally, it is thought that 5.8S rRNA may be involved in ribosome translocation. Lineage: Eukaryota; Viridiplantae; Streptophyta; Magnoliopsida; Asterales; Asteraceae. The record is from RNAcentral.
CAAAUGACUCUCGGCAACGGAUAUCUCGGCUCACGCAUCGAUGAAGAACGUAGCAAAAUGCGAUACUUGGUGUGAAUUGCAGAAUCCCGUGAACCAUCGAGUUUUUGAACGCAAGUUGCGCCCAAAGCCAUUUGGUUGAGGGCACGUCUGCAUGGGCGUCACGC